Molecule: transfer RNA, 65 nt
Filed under: Coenobita brevimanus
Lineage: Eukaryota; Metazoa; Arthropoda; Malacostraca; Decapoda; Coenobitidae
Description: tRNA-Lys
Source: RNAcentral
CACCAGAUGACUGAAGUUUAAGUGUAGGUCUUUUAAACCUGUUAUAGUAUAAUUACUUCUGGUGA